This is a long non-coding RNA of Astatotilapia calliptera (eastern happy), 733 nucleotides long. The record is from Ensembl. NCBI's taxonomy places the organism in Eukaryota, Metazoa, Chordata, Actinopteri, Cichliformes, Cichlidae.
CAUGGAGCCAGCUCGAGAGUGGAUUCAAAACAUUAGCGCGACUCAGGCGGCUGAUCGCGAGGUUUAUGCUUUAUUUACGUGAUUAAAAUAAGAAUACAGGGCUCCUCUCGGUGACAGGAAAAAGAGAGCAUCGGGGUCCUACCGUCAGCGGCCAGGGAGCUCUGCAUCAUCAGCAUCAGCACCGCGCCGAUGGUCACAAACCACCGGGCCACCAUUCCAUUCAGCACGCGCGUCCUCUUCCCGAUCCUCGGCGAGUAGACGGCCACCAUCCCCGCAUCCAGGAUCCAUAGCGACGAGGAGGAAGAGCAGGGGUCUUCUUUCUUAUUUACCCCUCCGACCCCGGGGCCACCGCUGCUGGAGAGGCGCGCAUGUUUGGGAGCCAUUGGUUAACCAAUUAAUCCUGAAUGGGAAACAUCUAACGGCGCUGCUGGGAUGAAAGGCAUCCGAUCAACCUGCCCCCGGUUCGGACAAGCAGGGCUCCGCUCUCCAUGAGCCUGCUGGAGGCUGUGAAGGUCGACGAGGAAACAAAGAAGCGUGGAAAGAGUAGUGGAAUAUCUGGUGAACCUGAGCCUGCUGCUCAACCACAGAGACCCAUACCUCCAGGUGGACCAACCACCAACAUAUUUGGGCCUGCAGUCACUGCACCUGCACAAAGUCCAAGCUGAAGCCCCCCAAAUAAGCCAAAGGUAGGCUGUAACAUUACCUUCCUUUCACUCUUUGACUUGUAUUUUAU